GCUAACGGUGGCUAAUGGUGGCUAACGGUGGCUAACGGUGGCUAAUGGCGGGGGAGACGGACAGUGAGGCGGAGGACAAAGACAGAGAGGAGCACGUCAGAGACACCAGCUAACCCGAGCUUCACAAGACGGACCUACAUACAGGAGGAGGAGGAGGAUGAUGAAGGGAGACCUCGCCAUGAAAGGAGUGCACGCUGCAGACGACUCUGCAUCAGCCUGAGCAUGAAGCAAGACGUCAGUGUACUAACACGCGUUGUGUUCUGUGUCCUGAAAAAGACGAGGACGAAGAGGCCGCGCAUCGUCCGAGGAACUGUGAAAUACACGUGAGUCACUAUUAAUAAUCUCUGUGUCCUCGUAGGUUGAUCAUUAAAAUGAAAUGUGUUAUUUCUAAUAGCUAGGAAAACGUUUAUAUUUUUAUUUCUCAAACAAAUGUUUGAGCCUGAAAACAAGUUUUGAUUUUUGGUUUCAUUCUAUAAUACUUUUAUGUUUUAAAAUCUACGAAGGUUUGAACUUUGAGAGUGUUUAAACUAGUGAGAAAUGUGAGAAAAGUGUCUAAAGUGUGUGGUGACGGGUUUUACAGCCUUAAAACAUAUAGAAGAGUUGUGAAAAAAAAUAAAGCUGACUACCAAGCGGA
This is a long non-coding RNA of Solea solea (common sole), 634 nucleotides long. RefSeq lists it as uncharacterized. The record is from RefSeq and is a predicted model, not a curated record. NCBI's taxonomy places the organism in Eukaryota, Metazoa, Chordata, Actinopteri, Pleuronectiformes, Soleidae. The transcript has 3 exons.